RNAcentral lists this RNase P RNA (375 nucleotides) under Lentisphaerota bacterium. Its description in RNAcentral is "Lentisphaerae bacterium (anaerobic digester metagenome) RNase P RNA component class A". It matches the Rfam family "Bacterial RNase P class A". From Rfam's summary of the family: Ribonuclease P (RNase P) is a ubiquitous endoribonuclease, found in archaea, bacteria and eukarya as well as chloroplasts and mitochondria. Its best characterised activity is the generation of mature 5'-ends of tRNAs by cleaving the 5'-leader elements of precursor-tRNAs. Lineage: Bacteria; Pseudomonadati; Lentisphaerota. The record is from RNAcentral. RNAcentral also lists the same sequence under 1 other name.
GUGGAAGACGAGGGUCGCCGCCAUCCCCGCAAGAGGGUGGGGGAGGAAAGUCCGGACUCCAUAGGGCAGGGUGUCCCGUGGAAGACGCGGGAACGGCACUGCCAUACCGGUGCCGAUGGAAAGUGCCACAGAAACAAACCGCCAGCCGGCCGCAAGGCCGGAGGCAAGGGUGAAAAGGUGGUGUAAGAGACCACCGGACCGGGUGAGAGCCCUGUCGCCAGGUAAACCCCACCCGGAGCAAGAUCAAAUAGGAAAACGAGGGUGCGGCCCGCACCGUUCCCGUUCGCGGGAGGCGUUUUCGGGUUGAUCGCGUAGAUAAAUGACCUGAACCUGCACGCAGGCUUACAGAAUCCGGCUUAUGAGUUUUUCACGACG